CUUUAGUUUCUGUUCCUCCCUUCUUCUCUGUUCGAACGAGUGACUUCUAAACCCUAUCUCCGUUACUCUCAAUCUCUCCCUCGUCGCCGACGCCGUUGCUCGCCACAUCUGUCUGCCUCCAUCGCCAUCGCUUUUCUGGUUACUGGUAUGUCUGCCUCUGCUCUAAUGUGCAUUUCCAGUUCUAUUUCCAUUUCUCCCUUCAUUCAUCUUCGCUUCCCUCUCUCUCUGUCUCUCUCUAUGGCACCAUGGGUGUGGGGACUGGGGACGGGGAAUGGGAAGUAGUAGUAUGAUUGAUUACUGGGUCUGGGAGUAAACCCAGAAGCAUAUUAAAUUUGUUUUCCUGUCUGCCUCCAUCGCCAUCUGGAUCUGAUGAAACACUUCUGCUUUAAUUUGUUUUCCUUUUUUUGUCUUUUUUUGGCCUUUUUUAUUAGGCAUGCGUAAGUGUAACAAUGAAUACGAAAGCUGUGUGGAAUUUUUUUGUCUUUUUUUUGUCUUCCGCAUUUGAAUGGUAUGCUGUGUUGAAUUUUUCGUAAAAAUGCCACGCAAUUGGCUAAAGUAGUACACGGUUCUACUAAAUUGGACUUCAACUGAAUUCGUAACCUUUGUCAAAAGUGGUUCAAUCAGAAGGAAAUUACUCACACUCCAUCAUCUUCACAUGGCUCUAGAUUCUAAUUAUUGCUCUCUUUGUGCUAAAGAAUAAAUUCUAACUUCUAAGAGCAGAUUUCUAAAACCCCAAAAUAAAAAUUGUAAAUCAUAGAUAUAAGGUGUAGCCUGUCAAUCCUGGAAGUUAAAAAGAAAGUAGGAAGAACAAUUUGAGUAUUCCGUGGUAGUCUGGAUUUAAUGACUUGAUAUAGAGAGUUAAACAAGCACCACUAGAAUUGUUGUGUGUAAUUUGUUAGAAAUGCCAUUAAAACAAAACACACUCUGUAUAAUUCCACUAAAGUCCACAAACUUCAUCCCACUUUGUAUAAUUCCUCUAAAGUCCCUAGAUCACUUACAUUAAGAGACUAAAGCUCAAAAAACUUGAUUAGCCUCGACUUGAUAAGGCUUGACUAAAGGUCGAGCCUUAUUGAGUCGAGUCUCGAGCUUAAAAGAAUUUCCUCUAGUCAAGCCUCGAGUUGUGAUUUUUAGGCUUGAUUGAGUUUGAGUCUAGGUACAUAUAGGUCGAGUCGAGCUCAAGUAUAGCACUACUCGAGCUUGACUUGGCUCGAAUACAUCCCUAAGGUCCAAGGCAGUGGACUCUCACAACUCACAAACACACCUCUUUCUUCUUCCCACUUGGCUGUUCCGCUGUUGGCAUUCAUCUUUCCCCAAAUCAAAAGCAAACCCUAGCCACCGCUACCACUGUCUGCACCACUCACCAGUCAGCCUCUUCUGCCACCACCACCGCCGCCCUUCAAUUGAAGAGCCCUUUCUCUCCGAGUCCCAGUUUGUUGGCCAACGUUAGAAGCAGCUACGGUAGACAUUUCAUCAGCUCCAUUGGUGGAGGGCCUCGCGAACAGGAUUGCUGAUAAACUGAUCUUGACAACAGUGGUUGGAACUUUUGGACUAUAGGAUUGCUGAUAAACUGAUCUUGACAACAGUGGUUGGAACUUUUGGACUAUAGGAUUGCUGAUAAACUGAUCUUGACAACAUUUUUUGGAACUUUUGGACUAGGAUUGCUGAUAAACUGAUCUUGACAACAGUGGUUGGAACUUUUGGACUAUAGGAUUGCUGAUAAACUAUCUAGGAUUGCUGAUAAACUGAUCUUGACAACAGUGAUUAGGGUCAUCGAAAGGAAUUGUGAAAUUCCCCAUGAAGGGCCCUUCUGUGACCUCAUGUGGAGUGACCCUGAAGAUAUUGAAACAUGGGCAGUCAGUCCAAGAGGAGCAGGCUGGCUCUUUUGAUCCAGGGUUACUUCUGAGUCCAAUCAUAUUAACAAGCUUGAUCUAGUUUGUCGGGCCCACCAACUAGUGCAGGAAGGCCUAAAAUACAUGUUUCAAGAUAAAGGACUAGUUACUGUGUGGUCUGCACCAAAUUACUGCUAUCGUUGUGGAAAUGUAGCGUCAAUUUUGAGCUUCAAUGAGAAUAUGGAGAGAAGUGAAAUUCUUCACUGAAACUGAGGAAAACAACCAAAUAAGAGGACCCAGGACAGGAGUACCUUACUUCUUGUAGUUGGAUACUAGUGCUUGGUUUAUUGAUAAUGAGAAUAUUUUUAAGAGGUGGUGGUGUGAUUUUCCCGGUGGGGAUUACGAAGAGAUGGUAAGAAUGUUUCUCAAGUGGCGCUGAGUACCAGGAUGGUAAUUCUCAGAAGACGGCUACGCACCUAGGUGAUUAUUUGGCCGAAAUUGCAUUUGCAUAGUUUGUGUUGUGUAUUAGAGAUGCUUGGAGAUUGUUACUUUUUGAUCUUUAUAAUUAAAAAAUAUGUAAGAUGAUUGGUACGUUGUUUCCAUAUGUGAGCUAGACUAAUUGUUUGCAGUUGUGGCUUAGAGAAAUAGUUUUCCAAAGCUUUGGUUUUAGGCUGGUGGUAAGUUGCCUAUAGGAGAGCAAUAAUUUCUUCUUCAGUGACCAAUGUUUUGUUGUUGACCUUAUCAUUUUGAGAGGAUCUAUAUCUGGACUUAUUCUCUGUAAAGUUUCGAUUGUUCUUUUU
Non-coding RNA from Coffea arabica (coffee), 2629 nucleotides. NCBI's taxonomy places the organism in Eukaryota, Viridiplantae, Streptophyta, Magnoliopsida, Gentianales, Rubiaceae. The record is from RefSeq and is a predicted model, not a curated record.